This 366-nucleotide transfer-messenger RNA is filed under the name Robiginitomaculum sp. It matches the Rfam family "Alphaproteobacteria transfer-messenger RNA". From Rfam's summary of the family: Bacterial tmRNA, also known as 10Sa RNA or SsrA, is named for its dual tRNA and mRNA-like properties. Its role is to liberate the mRNA from a stalled ribosome. The record is from RNAcentral. Lineage: Bacteria; Pseudomonadati; Pseudomonadota; Alphaproteobacteria; Maricaulales; Robiginitomaculaceae.
UCUCUUCCUUUCUUAACCCACACCCCCUAUAUAUGUCUUGUCGACUUGUUCGACUAUGACGAUAAACGCGCAUGUAAUAAGCGGGCUGGACCCGGGGGCGGUACCCGGCGGCUCCACCACAAGCGGCUCUCCUUUUAUAGGGAGCCGUUUCUGAUGGGGCCGAAAUAGUAUCGACAGACGUGUAAAAAUGUUAGCUUUCGUCCGGAUGGGUACCGAUAAAUGCCCAAUUACAGUAGUUGCUAAUGAUAACAACACUGAAGAGUUCGCUUUGGCUGCGUAAGCAGUUCGAGCAAAUUCGCUUUUAACUCCUGGCCCUUCAGACGGUCAGGCGGGCUCCGGGGGUAGCUGGCAACAGAAACCCCCAAU